Long non-coding RNA from Anneissia japonica, 450 nucleotides. RefSeq lists it as uncharacterized. Lineage: Eukaryota; Metazoa; Echinodermata; Crinoidea; Comatulida; Comatulidae. The record is from RefSeq and is a predicted model, not a curated record. The transcript has 2 exons.
UAAGGAUUCACCUUGUUGCCAGCUUGUAACAAUUGAUGCUUACGAAAAAUAUUUUUAGAGCACUUUCAAUCUGAUGGCCAUCCGUCUUUUAUGAACACUUUACCGGGUCAUAGUACAGUAGGUCCUGUCGCUUAUGAACACUUAGUAAUCAUUAAGUACAUUAUGGUGACAAUAACUUAUCGCAUGUGACGUAGUACCGUAUUUAUUUUUACUAUAAUUAUACUAUCUUAUCAAAAGUCGAACGAGCUAACCAUUGUUUAACCACUUGUUCCUCCAUCUCUUAUUUCUGAACACGCCACAUAAAGCACAAACCAACACUAAGCAGUAGAUCGCACAUCAACGAAGGCUAUGUAGUUCCUAAAAUCUUCGAUCCCACUCAUCUAGACGUCACAACUGUAUACGAAAGUAACGAAGCAGUCUGGUGACCAUGAAGUAUUUACAUAGGGAACA